This 281-nucleotide long non-coding RNA is filed under the name Olea europaea (common olive). Its description in RNAcentral is "long non-coding RNA (OEUR_LNC009631)". Lineage: Eukaryota; Viridiplantae; Streptophyta; Magnoliopsida; Lamiales; Oleaceae. The record is from RNAcentral.
UGAGUUACAGGGUGAGUAAUUUUUACUGUUUUACGAGAAGCCGUGAACUUUGCAGCCUGUUGUGGAGGACAUUGUGGGGCCCUAUUAAUUCCUAUGCUACCCAACUGAGGGGGCAUCUGAUGACCCAUUUGCGAUGAGUAGUUCAAGUUUUGACCCUGAUGCAUCAAUCCUUGAGACUGCAUCAUAUGUGGUGGUCGAAGACCUGAAACAAACAUUGGUGGAUUUCCCAUGGGUAAAGGAAUAGACAUCCCCAUUUGUAUUGGGAUUGGCAAAGAUGUGGU